Coffea arabica (coffee) is the source of this 1730-nucleotide non-coding RNA. The record is from RefSeq and is a predicted model, not a curated record. NCBI's taxonomy places the organism in Eukaryota, Viridiplantae, Streptophyta, Magnoliopsida, Gentianales, Rubiaceae.
GCAACUAGAAAUCAGUAUUCGUGAUUUUUAGGGAAGGUGUGGUUUAAUUGUAGGAUUUUUCCAUUAUUAAAUUCACUCUGUUUUUUAAUAUAAAUAAUAGGAUUGCAAAAUUAUUGGUGACUAUCAGUUCAUCAUUGCGGCUUUUGUGAGAGCUGUGCUUCCAAGAUUCAUGCAUGAAUAGAACAAUUGGUUAAAGGGUCAUAUGAUUUCAUUAGAGUCGACUGCUAUACUUCUCAUGCAAUUUCCCAUCGAUGAAAAUUAAGUGAACUUAUACCAGUCAAGUUCAGUACCAACAUGAGCUCAGUCGCAGCUUUAUAAUUGUUUUAAAUUACAGCAAUUUCGGAUUUAUUUAGGCACAUUUUGGCUUUUCUGUUGUUAUAAUGUUGCUGGAGUUUUUUAAGUUAUCACUUAGGAUAGCUCUGCAUUCUCUUUUCCUCUUCUGUUUUUUAUGGUAUUAAGAGUUGAAAAAGCAUGGGCAUUGUGUAAGUUGAGAGCUUUCAUAUCUGAAUAAAAACAAAAGUAGAAAAAACAUGGCCUUUGCAUUGAGGAAAGCAUCUGUGCUAGCAAGAUUGGAAAGUACAUAGCAAUAUCCAUCUGCUAUUGUAUAUUUUAUGACUGCCCAGCUUUAUAAUGAUAUACCCUCUAUAUUGUUGAAGAAAUAUGAUAUAUUCAGUUCAAGUUAUUGCAAAUUUGGAAAAAAAAAAUCAUUGAACCAACUAGGUUUGCAUAUUAUUUUUAGCUUUUGGCUCAGUAGUCAGCUUAGAAGAGAAAAGGUGAUGAACUUUUGAUAUUGUUUGGAUUUCAGAAAGAAGUCAUUUAGGACAUUAGAGAUGAUUCAAUGCUCUACAACCACUGUUUCAAAUACAAACUGGGCCUUUUUUGAGAAUUUUUUAUAACUGCACAGCAGGUUUCCUCUUACUUGCUUAUCCAGGUUGUAUGGAGAGAUUUUCUAUGGUUUUUUCUCAAAUUUUUUUUGGGAAAUUUGGAAAAGAAUGUUAAUGAAAUAGAGGAAUUUUACAUUAAUUUGUUGGAAGUUUUGUUACUUCCUCUUUUUCUGUGGUGGAUUCUAAUUAGUAGCUAAAAGAUGAUGUGUUGAAUUGGAAUUUAAUAUAGUCAUGAUUAGAGGAUAAGAAACUUUCAAAUGUAAUUUCCUAGUCAAAAGAAAAAAUUUAGUGAUGGGAUUUGCAGUGUGAGAUUCAAGCUCUUGAUUGACUUUGUGCAGCUAUUGCAAAUAUGAUAUAUUGAAGGGACUAAGCACGUUGCAGGCCUUCCCUACUCACAUUGCAGAGAAAAGAUCAUACUUGUAGACAAGGAGAAUGAUCCUUUAUCUUGCUGCGUUUGAACUGCGUUUGAACCUUUUUGUGCAUAUACAGACAUGUAUCAACCAUUUCUCACGGGAACUGGGAAUUUCAAACUGCAUUUGAACAUUUUGUGCAUAUGCAGUUGGAAUUGGUUACAAUAUGAGGUUCAGACAAAAAUUUAAUCCUAUCCUCUUCGGAAGAUUAUGGAGCUCAAAAAACAGAGGAAGCUUGCUAUUGCGACUAAAGAAGAGGAGAAGAGUAGAGGAAGGAGGAAACUGCGGUGGGGACUAUUGCACACAUACAUGUAAAGUUUGAAACAAAAAAGAAUCAAGGCAAAAGAAAUGAAAAAGUAGAUUAAAAUUUCCUUUAUAAAUACUUCACUGGCAAUUGAGUUGACAAAUGUACCUAUCUUCAUUUUCAUUAUGUGAA